ACGAGUGGCGGAUGCCUUAGUACGGGUACGUCAUUUGCCCACAAACGGGGGACACAUUUGGAACUUUAUGCUAAUACCGCAUAAUAGCAUUGUUCGUUGAUCACGCUAGAAGAUCCCUUCUCGCAUUCACUUCUGGAUGGACCUGCGGUGCAUUAACUUGAUGGACAUGUAAUGACCUACCAAGGCGAUCAUGCACAUUGGAACUGAGAGACUGAUCGGCUCCUUGGGAAUGAGACACGGCCCAUACUCCUACGGGAGGCAACAGUCUGGGAAUCUUCCACCUGGGGAGUGACCUGAUGGACGGCACCGCGUGUCUGAUGAAAGAUUCAGCUCGUAUGCUCUGUUGUUAAAGAAGAACACGUAUGACAGUAACUGUUCAUACGUUGACGGUAUUUAACCAGAAAGUCACGGCUAACUACGUGCCAACAGCCGCGGUAAUACAUAGGUGGCAAGCGUUAUCCGGAUUUAUUGUGCGUAAAGAGAGUGCAGGCGGUUUUCUAAGUCUGAUGUGAAAGCCUUCGGCUUAACCGGAGAGUGCAUCGGAAACUGGAUAACUUGAGUGCAGAAGUGGAUAGUGAACUCC
This 583-nucleotide ribosomal RNA is filed under the name Lactococcus lactis. RNAcentral describes it as "bacterial SSU rRNA". It matches the Rfam family "Bacterial small subunit ribosomal RNA", at positions 91 to 669 of the family's 1533-position model. The record is from RNAcentral. Lineage: Bacteria; Bacillati; Bacillota; Bacilli; Lactobacillales; Streptococcaceae.